This 646-nucleotide long non-coding RNA is filed under the name Neogobius melanostomus (round goby). RNAcentral's name for it is "lncRNA (ENSNMLG00000025765.1)". Lineage: Eukaryota; Metazoa; Chordata; Actinopteri; Gobiiformes; Gobiidae. The record is from RNAcentral.
AAACCCUGUCUUCAUACUUUUGUGCUGUUUGAUUUUUGUUACUCAGAUUUGAGAAUAAGGCGGCAGCAGUCCUCCGAGAGCAUGUCCAGUAUCAACAGCGCGGCCAGUCACUCCAGUCUGGGCAGUCUGGGCAAAGAUGCAGAGGACAAGAAGAAGAAGAAGAAAAGCUGGGUGGCAGACUCCAUCCCAGCUCAGCUGCGCAGUUCGUUCAAGCACGCGUUCAGUAAGAAGAAGACCAAGUCCCAGUCGGGCCACGACGAGAUGGAGGAGAUGAGCGACUCCCUGCCGUCUUCGCCCAAACUGCAGCAUGACAACAGGCAGGGCAGCAUCGCCACGCUGCGCUCCUCGCCCUCCACCACCGAGUACGUCUCAUCUGCGUCUCCCACCAAACGUCUCUAUUUUGAGUUUGAACUUUAUGUUGUCUUCUGGAUAGGAAUGCACAAUAGCAAAAUGAAUGGGCAGACCUUUAAGGACACAAGAAACCACUGUCCUGUUUCCAAAAGGAAUUUUUGAACUCACUGUUCACCAUUGGCUCAUUAGUACGUGAUAUUUUGGCACACCCGUAUAUAAUAAAGUGAAAUCUAUUUUGCCCCCCUGUAGUGUUUCGUUCGCAGACAUAUGUGGGGAGAAAAAGUGCUGCCUGGCG